This 146-nucleotide ribosomal RNA is filed under the name uncultured eukaryote. RNAcentral describes it as "partial 18S ribosomal RNA". It matches the Rfam family "Eukaryotic small subunit ribosomal RNA", at positions 1299 to 1458 of the family's 1831-position model. The record is from RNAcentral.
UCGUGGAUUGAUUUGUCUGGUUAAUUCCGAUAACGAACGAGACCUUUUCCUACUCGUUAGUUGCGCCUGGGAUUUUUUUCUCAGGUUUUUGCAACUUCUUAGCGGGACAGCUGGCGUUUAGCCAGAGGAAGUUCGAGGCAAUAACA